CCUACGGGCGGCAGCAGUGAGGAAUAUUGGUCAAUGGACGAGAGUCUGAACCAGCCAAGUAGCGUGAAGGAUGACUGCCCUAUGGGUUGUAAACUUCUUUUAUAUGGGAAUAAAAUGUUCCACGUGUGGGAUUUUGUAUGUACCAUAUGAAUAUGGAUCGGCUAACUCCGUGCCAGCAGCCGCGGUAAUACGGAGGAUCCGAGCGUUAUCCGGAUUUAUUGGGUUUAAAGGGAGCGUAGGUGGAUUGUUAAGUCAGUUGUGAAAGUUUGCGGCUCAACCGUAAAAUUGCAGUUGAAACUGGCAGUCUUGAGUACAGUAGAGGUGGGCGGAAUUCGUGGUGUAGCGGUGAAAUGCUUAGAUAUCACGAAGAACUCCGAUUGCGAAGGCAGUUCACUGGACUGCAACUGACACUGAGGCUCGAAAGUGUGGGUAUCAAACAGGAUUAGAUACCCUAGUAGUC
RNAcentral lists this ribosomal RNA (460 nucleotides) under uncultured bacterium. Its description in RNAcentral is "partial 16S ribosomal RNA". It matches the Rfam family "Bacterial small subunit ribosomal RNA", at positions 338 to 795 of the family's 1533-position model. The record is from RNAcentral.